Molecule: ribosomal RNA, 422 nt
Filed under: uncultured bacterium
Lineage: Bacteria
Description: bacterial SSU rRNA
Rfam family: Bacterial small subunit ribosomal RNA
Source: RNAcentral
UGAGGAAUAUUGGUCAAUGGGGGCAACCCUGAACCAGCCAAGUCGCGUGAAGGAUGAAGGUCUUAUGGAUUGUAAACUUCUUUUACACGGGAAUAAAGUGGGGGACGUGUCCCCCUUUGCAUGUACCGUGUGAAUAAGGAUCGGCUAACUCCGUGCCAGCAGCCGCGGUAAUACGGAGGAUCCGAGCGUUAUCCGGAUUUAUUGGGUUUAAAGGGUGCGCAGGCGGGAUGUUAAGUCGGCGGUGAAAUUUUGCAGCUCAACUGUAAAAGUGCCCUCGAUACUGGCCUCCUUGAGUGUGGAUGAAGUAGGCGGAAUUUGUGGUGUAGCGGUGAAAUGCUUAGAUAUCACGAGGAACUCCGAUUGCGCAGGCAGCUUACUAGGCCACAACUGACGCUCAUGCACGAAGGCGUGGGGAUCAAACA